CAGCAGCCACGGGAAUACGUAGGGUGCAAGCGUUAAUCGGAAUUACUGGGCGUAAAGCGUGCGCAGGCGGUUAUAUAAGACAGAUGUGAAAUCCCCGGGCUCAACCUGGGAACUGCAUUUGUGACUGUAUAGCUAGAGUACGGCAGAGGGGGAUGGAAUUCCGCGUGUAGCAGUGAAAUGCGUAGAUAUGCGGAGGAACACCGAUGGCGAAGGCAAUCCCCUGGGCCUGUACUGACGCUCAUGCACGAAAGCGUGGGGAGCAAACAGGAUUAGAUACCCGGUAGUCCCUGUCUCUUAUACA
Molecule: ribosomal RNA, 301 nt
Filed under: uncultured bacterium
Lineage: Bacteria
Description: partial 16S ribosomal RNA
Rfam family: Bacterial small subunit ribosomal RNA
Source: RNAcentral